ACAACAUUCGGACCAUCAGUCUACCUAGCAAUAUCACGGGUCGGUGGAAGAUCUUCUUUUUGACAU
Molecule: microRNA precursor, 66 nt
Filed under: Bombyx mori (domestic silkworm)
Lineage: Eukaryota; Metazoa; Arthropoda; Insecta; Lepidoptera; Bombycidae
Description: mir-2774 microRNA precursor family
Rfam family: mir-2774 microRNA precursor family
Source: Rfam by way of RNAcentral